Biomphalaria pfeifferi is the source of this 73-nucleotide non-coding RNA. The record is from the annotation of a GenBank genome assembly. NCBI's taxonomy places the organism in Eukaryota, Metazoa, Mollusca, Gastropoda, Planorbidae.
CUGAACAAUCUUCUGUAUGGGAAAGAUCCAAGCGGAUUUAAAUUUUGCAUCCUUAUUAUCGAUGGCUCGUAUC